This 23-nucleotide small nuclear RNA is filed under the name Arabidopsis thaliana (thale cress). RNAcentral describes it as "snRNA_16050". Lineage: Eukaryota; Viridiplantae; Streptophyta; Magnoliopsida; Brassicales; Brassicaceae. The record is from RNAcentral.
GAUGUACAAUCUAAAUUUACAAA